UCGUGUCACCAAAUCUCCUUCUCAAAGCCUGAUCUCAUCAGAUCUCAGAAGCUAAGCAUGGCUGGGCCUCAUUAGGACUUGGAUGGAAGACCGCUGGGAAUAUCAGGUGCGACCGUGGG
This 119-nucleotide ribosomal RNA is filed under the name Periophthalmus magnuspinnatus. Lineage: Eukaryota; Metazoa; Chordata; Actinopteri; Gobiiformes; Gobiidae. The record is from RNAcentral.